This 562-nucleotide ribosomal RNA is filed under the name uncultured Glomeromycotina. RNAcentral describes it as "SSU rRNA". It matches the Rfam family "Eukaryotic small subunit ribosomal RNA", at positions 548 to 1114 of the family's 1831-position model. Lineage: Eukaryota; Fungi; Glomeromycota. The record is from RNAcentral.
UUGGAGGGCAAGUCUGGUGCCAGCAGCCGCGGUAAUUCCAGCUCCAAUAGCGUAUAUUAAAGUUGUUGCCGUUAAAAAGCUCGUAGUUGAAUUUCGGGAUCAAUUUGUCGGUCGUGCCUCGGUACGUACUGGCAUUAUUGGUUUCUACCUUCUGAAGAACCUUGAUGUCAUCAAUUUGGUGUCUUGGGGAAUCAGGACUGUUACCUUGAAAAAAUUAGAGUGUUUAAAGCAGGCAUACGCUUGAAUACAUUAGCAUGGAAUAAUGAAAUAGGACGUUUGAUUCUAUUUUGUUGGUUUCUAGGAUCGACGUAAUGAUUAAUAGGGAUAGUUGGGGGCAUUAGUAUUCAAUUGUCAGAGGUGAAAUUCUUGGAUUUAUUGAAGACUAACUACUGCGAAAGCAUUUGCCAAGGAUGUUUUCAUUAAUCAAGAACGAAAGUUAGGGGAUCGAAGACGAUCAGAUACCGUCGUAGUCUUAACCAUAAACUAUGCCGACUAGGGAUCGGAUGAUGUUAUUUUUAAUGACUCAUUCGGCGCCUUACGGGAAACCAAAGUGUUUGGGUUC